This 512-nucleotide ribosomal RNA is filed under the name uncultured bacterium. RNAcentral's name for it is "partial 16S ribosomal RNA". It matches the Rfam family "Bacterial small subunit ribosomal RNA", at positions 28 to 507 of the family's 1533-position model. The record is from RNAcentral.
GAUGAACGCUGGCGGCGUGCCUAAUACAUGCAAGUCGAACGAAACUUCUUUAUCACCGAGUGCUUGCACUCACCGAUAAAGAGUUGAGUGGCGAACGGGUGAGUAACACGUGGGCAACCUGCCCCAAAGAGGGGGAUAACACUUGGAAACAGGUGCUAAUACCGCAUAACCAUAGUUACCGCAUGGUAACUAUGUAAAAGGUGGCUAUACUACCGCUUUUGGAUGGGCCCGCGGCGCAUUAGCUAGUUGGUAGGGUAAAGGCUUACCAAGGCAAUGAUGCGUAGCCGAAUUGAGAGGUUGGUCGGCCACAUUGGGACUGAGACACGGCCCAAACUCCUACGGGAGGCAGCAGUAGGAAAUCUUCCACAAUGGGCGAAAGCCUGAUGGAGCAACGCCGCGUGGGUGAAGAAGGUCUUCGGAUCGUAAAACCCUGUUGUUAGAGAAGAAAGUGCGUGAGAGUAACUGUUCACGUUUCGACGGUAUCUAACCAGAAAGCCACGGCUAACUACGUG